RNAcentral lists this long non-coding RNA (370 nucleotides) under Mytilus galloprovincialis (Mediterranean mussel). Lineage: Eukaryota; Metazoa; Mollusca; Bivalvia; Mytilida; Mytilidae. The record is from RNAcentral.
AAAAAAGGGGCAAAAAAUAAAACUGUUCUUAAACUUUGAUGAAUUACUUAAUUUCUUUACCAAUUUCAGUAUUGAAUUCUUAGGAUUCUAUUAUAUGCUAUAGCUAAGUCUCAACGUGUAUUUAUAUUUUGGACUUUGGGCCCCAUAUUUUAAUCGGUUCACAAACAGGUCUAAAGGGUCCACACAUAAAAUGUGCUUGAUUUCAUCAAAAAUUAACUUAUUGAUUAAACAAUAACAAAAAGCUUUCAUGUCAGUUACUGUCAUCAGAGAUGAAAUUACAGUAUUAUGAGGAAACAAUUUAAAUGUGCAUUGUGCGCAAUACAGGUACUGAGAAGGCAAAGCAUCCAUUUAAAACAAUCAAAAACAAAAC